UUCCUCGGCCUCCAACCAUUGGACCGUUAGGCAGGGUUCUGAAAGCCUUCCUCGGCCUCCAACCAUUGAACCGUUAGGCAGGGUUCUGAAAGCCUUCCUCGGCCUCCAACCAUUGAACCGUUAGGCAGGGUUCUGAAAGCCUCCCUCGGCCUCCAACCAUUGAACCGUUAGGCAGGGUUCUGAAAGCCUCCCUCGGCCUCCAACCAUUGGACCGUUAGGCAGGGUUCUGAAAGCCUCCCUCGGCCUCCAACCAUUGGACCGUUAGGCAGGGUUCUGAAAGCCUUCCUCGGCCUCCAACCAUUGGACCGUUAGGCAGGGUUCUGAAAGCCUCCUGGGGGGAUAGGUUGGUUGCUGAGGGGACUACAGCAAGGAAUGAUUUUGCAGGGCUCACACUGGUUUUGUGGCUCAGCCAAUCAGAGAAGGUCCUGCCCCUGCAGUGUCCAGUGGAAACGCUCGGCAGAGGGUGUAAGGAAAGGUUUGUACCCCCAGCAGGGCAGAGAUGCCUGAGUUCUUGUAGAACCUACCGGGUACCGACCCAAAAGGCAGGAGAUGAGUGGCACUUGUAAUGAGACUGGCAUUGGGCGCAGUGUCGCUCUACAACCCGCAGUGCCCAAACAUCAGUCCCAGACCAUUUACUGCUGCUGUUCAGGGAAUCAGUAUGGCAGCUCGGAAGGGUGGCAGUUCCAGACCCCCAUGCCCACUAGUUGGCAGCAUUUCAUUAUGAAGUUACAUGUCUCCGUUUAGUCCUUCUGCUCUGAUCCAAUACAUUUCUGUCCAGUCAGGAUUCUGUAGGGAGCAGGUAAGUCUCUUCUGUUCCACUGGGCGGAUGCAGUUAUGGAGAGGCCGAUUCCCCACACCCAAAGUGCUCCCUGUUGUGUGAGUUUAGUUUGCUUGUUAGGGCAGGUACAGCAUCUCAGGGGUACCAGAAGGAUAUUCACCAUAGAAUGGACAAAGGGUUAAUAUAUUUAUAGCUGGAGGCUGCAGGGGUCAGUAUAUUCAGAACUGGUGGUUGCAGGGGUCAGUAUAUUCAUAGCUGGAGGCUGCAGGGGUGAGUAUAUUCAGAACUGGUGGUUGCAGGGGUCAGUAUAUUCAGAACUGGUGGUUGCAGGGGUCAGUAUAUUCAGAACUGGUGGUUGCAGGGGUCAGUAUAUUCAGAACUGGUGGUUGCAGGGGUCAGUAUAUUCAUAGCUGGAGGCUGCAGGGGUCAGUAUAUUCAGAAACUGGUGGUUGCAGGGGUCAGUAUAUUCAUAGCUGGAGGCUGCAGGGGUCAGUAUAUUCAUAGCUGGAGGCUGCAGGGGUCAGUAUAUUCAGAACUGGUGGCUGCAGGGGUCAGUAUAUUCAGAACUGGAGGCUGCAGGGGUCAGUAUAUUCAGAACUGGUGGUUGCAGGGGUCAGUAUAUUCAGAACUGGAGGCUGCAGGGGUCAGGUUUUUGAGAGUUGGAUGCUACAUGGAUCAGUAUAUUCAGAGCUGGAGGCCCAAGGGGUCUUUUCAUUAAGAACUAGAGGAUGCAGGGAUCAGUUAUUCAUAGCUGGAGGUUGCAGGGGUCAGUAUAUUCAGAACUGGAGGCUGCAGGGGUCAGGUUUUUGAGAGCUGGAUGCUACAUGGAUCCGUAUAUUCAGAGCUGGAGGCCCAAGGGGUCUUUUCAUUAAGAACUAGAGGAUGCAGGGAUCAGUUAUUCAGAGCUGGAGGCUGCAGGGGUCAGUAUAUUCAGAACUGGAGGCUGCAGGGGUCAGUAUAUUCAGAACUUGAGGCUGCAGGGGUCAGUAUAUUCAGAACUUGAGGCUGCAGGGGUCAGUAUAUUCAGAACUUGAGGCUGCAGGGGUCUGUUCAUUAAGGAGGCUGCAGGAGUCAUUUAUUCAAAGCUGGAGGCUGAAGCGUCAGUUUAUUGAGAACUGGAGGCUGAGGGUCAGUAUAUUGAGAACUGGAGGCUGCAGGGGUCCCUAUAUUUAGAAGGAUAUUCACCAUAGAAUGGACUAGGCGUUAAUAUAUUCAGAACUGGAGGCUGCAGGGGUCAGUAUAUUAAAAAUGGGGGCAUUUAUUCAAUCCUGGAGGCUGCGGGGGUCCCUUUAUUUAAAACUGGAGGCUGCAGGGGUUAGUAUAUUCAGAAGCAUAUUCACCAUAUAAUGAACUAGGGGUUAGUAAAUUUAGAGCUGGAGGCUGCAGGGGUCAGUUUAUUCUGUUAUGGAGGCUGCAGGGGUUAGUUUAUUCUGAUAUGGAGGCUGCAGGGGUCAGUUUAUUCUGAUAUGGAGGCUGCGGGGGUCAGUUUAUUCUGAUAUGGAGGCUGCAGGGGUCAGUUUAUUCUGAUAUGGAGGCUGCAGGGAUCGGAUGAAGGUGCCAUUUAUAUUAAAGGGAACGAUCAUCUCAUGAACAAAAGGACAAUCAGAAGGAAUAUUUGGGGGGGCAAUUAAUAAGGGAACACAGGAAUCCAAGUUGGGGGCGGGUAUUUAAUUUGCACAUUCAGCCAAAUAUGAGUUUUUUUCUGUAUUUAAUUUGGGGGGGCAGGAGUGACUGAGAUUGUUGGGAAGUUGCCAGACUGUCGGGGGGCACUAAGGGAAGGAGUCACCCCAUUGCUGGCUUUGCCCCCUGCCGGGGUAUCUGGCCGGCCAGUAUGUGUUCCAUUGCUGAGUUACUUGCCCUGGGCAUUCGCAUGGCAUCAGUGUGGCACUCCGACCCGCGGGCACAGUGGAACUAAAUGCUGCUUUAUUGUGGGGGGGCAAUAUUUUGGGGAGACAGUGGCCUUUGGGACUGUGCCACCCCCCAUUCCCCUCGUUCUGUUACAGUUUGUGUUUCAUGAUUU
Molecule: long non-coding RNA, 2798 nt
Organism: Xenopus tropicalis (tropical clawed frog)
Lineage: Eukaryota; Metazoa; Chordata; Amphibia; Anura; Pipidae
Exons: 2
Source: RefSeq, a predicted model, not a curated record